Molecule: ribosomal RNA, 2007 nt
Filed under: Triticum aestivum (bread wheat)
Lineage: Eukaryota; Viridiplantae; Streptophyta; Magnoliopsida; Poales; Poaceae
Description: partial small subunit ribosomal RNA
Source: RNAcentral
AUGGUGGCGAGCAUUGCCGGGGCGGCGGCGUCGUCGUCCGCGCACGCGCAUGCGGCUGGGCGGCGGGCCAAGAGGGAGCCGGUCCACAUGCACGCCGGCAUCCGGCGGUCGCGCUCCGAGCCGCACCUCCGCUGCUCCCGCCGCGGCGGGGCCGCGGGCGCGUCGCUCACCACCAGCCGCUCCAUCGGCGUCUUCCCCUUCCAGUUCGGCGCCGCGCCGCUCCCCGACGGCGUCGGCGGCGGCGACUACCGGCUCCUCACCGUGUGCGCCGGCGAGACCGACCCGGACCCGGACCCGGAAAUGCCGCAGGUCAGGACGCCCGAGGACCACUGGCUGGACCGGCUCCUGGAGCUGCGCUCCCGCUUCCACGACCCCACCAAGCGCUUCUUCACCGACAACGACAACCUCUUCGAGGAGGAGGACGACGACGACUACCACGAGGACGGCGGCUGCGGCGUGAACUACGAUGAGGAGCACACCGCGGCCGAGGCCGAUGACAUGUGGGACCGCGAGUCCUUCGUCAAGCUGCUGGCGCGGGCCCCGCCGGGCGAUGCCCGGCUGUUCGCGCAGCUGGCCUUCCUCUGCAACAUGGCCUACGUCAUCCCGGAGAUCAAGAGGGCUGAGCUGAGGAAACACUACGGACUCGAACUGGUGACGUCGUCGGUACAGAAGAAGGCCGAGGCCAACGCCGUGAGCGCUGAGGUGGACGGCGACUCCACCCGGCCGCCGGGCGACGCGCAGCAGUACGAGGUGGCUGCGGAGCCGCAGCCGCGGCGGCCGGUCCGCCGCUCCAACCACCUGGCCUACGAGGUGGCCGCGUCGGCCGCGUCCUACGUCCAAGCGCGGGCCCGCGGCCUGCUCUCGCUCCGCGGGCACCAGCACCCGCCGGCAGGGGAAGAAGACCGGCUGUACAACUCCGGCAUGGCGGCCUACGUUGCCGCUUCCACGGUGACGGCGGUGGUGGCCGCCGAGGACGAGGCGCGGCAAGAGGCUGCGCGUGACCUGCGGUCGCCGCUGUCCUCGCCGUGCCAGUGGUUCGUCUGCGACGAGGCCGACAUGCGCACCCGCUGCUUCGUCAUCCAGGGCUCCGACUCGGUCGCGUCCUGGCAAGCCAACCUCCUCUUCGAGCCCACCACGUUCGAGGACACGGGCGUUCUCGUGCACCGCGGCAUCUAUGAGGCGGCCAAGGGCAUCUACGAGCAGCUUAUGCCGGAGAUCGUGGAGCACCUGAGGGCGCACAAGGAGGGCGCUCGCCUGCGGUUCACGGGGCACUCGCUCGGCGGCAGUCUGGCGCUGCUUGUGAGUCUGAUGCUGGUGGCGCGCGGGGUGGUCGGCCCGGAGUCGCUGCUCCCCGUGGUCACCUUCGGCGCGCCGUCGGUGUUCUGCGGCGGACAGCGCGUGCUGGAGGCGCUCGGCGUCGGCGAGGGCCAUGUCCGCGCCGUGGCGAUGCACCGGGACAUCGUGCCGAGGGCAUUCUCGUGCCGGUACCCCGGCCACGCCGUCGCCGUGCUCAAGCGGCUCAACGGCGCGCUGCGCACGCACCCCUGCCUCAACAGCCAGAAGGUGCUGUACACGCCGAUGGGCACGACGUACAUCCUGCAGCCAGACGGCAAGGCGUCGCCGCACCACCCGUUCCUGCCGGAGGGCGCGGCGCUGUUCCGGGUGUCCAGCCCGGAGGAGCGCACGGAGCCGUCGGGGUCGGGGAGGGCCGUGGUGGCCAGCGCCCUGCGCGCGUUCCUCAACUCGCCGCACCCGCUGGAGACGCUGAGCGACCUGUCGGCCUACGGGUCCGAGGGCGCCAUCCUCCGGGACCACGAGUCCGGCAACUACUUCCGGGCGCUCUACGCGCUCACCAAGGUGGCGCCGCUUCGGCGGAAGCAGCCGGAGAUCGUGUGGAGGCUUCCCGGCGUGGAGCGGCUGCAGCAGUACUGGUGGCCGGGGGUGGCGGGCACCGUGGUCCCGAGGCCGGUGGCCGUCCGCAGCAAGGAGCUGGUAUCCGAAGCCUGA